GAGGGUGUAGCUCAGUGGUACAGCACGUGCUUAGCAUGCACAAGGUCCUGGAUUCAAUCCCCGGUAUCUCA
This 71-nucleotide transfer RNA is filed under the name Camelus bactrianus (Bactrian camel). It matches the Rfam family "tRNA". From Rfam's summary of the family: Transfer RNA (tRNA) molecules are approximately 80 nucleotides in length. Their secondary structure includes four short double-helical elements and three loops (D, anti-codon, and T loops). RNAcentral also lists the same sequence under 2 other names. The record is from Rfam by way of RNAcentral. Lineage: Eukaryota; Metazoa; Chordata; Mammalia; Artiodactyla; Camelidae.